This 218-nucleotide long non-coding RNA is filed under the name Elaeis guineensis (African oil palm). RNAcentral's name for it is "long non-coding RNA (EGUI_LNC069698)". Lineage: Eukaryota; Viridiplantae; Streptophyta; Magnoliopsida; Arecales; Arecaceae. The record is from RNAcentral.
CCACCACCCCAUCGCCACCGUGCCACCAUAGCCGGUGGCCCCAUCCUGCCAUCCCCAAAUCCUACAAAAUAUUAUACUUCCACCAAGAUUAAGCUCUCAAAACCUCAAGGGACCAACUCACACUGCCACAACUCACACAAAAUCCCAUAUGCUUAAGAAAAACCCAAACUAGAACCUAAAAAUCCCUUCACUCUCUCUACUGCUCUCCUUCCCUGACC